This 406-nucleotide ribosomal RNA is filed under the name uncultured bacterium. RNAcentral describes it as "bacterial SSU rRNA". It matches the Rfam family "Bacterial small subunit ribosomal RNA", at positions 355 to 773 of the family's 1533-position model. The record is from RNAcentral.
UGGGGAAUAUUGGACAAUGGGCGAAAGCCUGAUCCAGCAACGCCGCGUGAGGGAUGACUGCCUUCGGGUUGUAAAUCUCUUUCAGCGGGGACGAAGCGCAAGUGACGGUACCCGCAGAAGAAGCACCGGCGAACUACGUGCCAGCAGCCGCGGUAAUACGUAGGGUGCGAGCGUUGUCCGGAAUUAUUGGGCGUAAAGGGCUCGUAGGCGGUUUGUCACGUCGGGAGUGAAAACCCAGGGCUCAACCCUGGGCCUGCCUCCGAUACGGGCAGACUAGAGGUAUGCAGGGGAGAACGGAAUUCCUGGUGUAGCGGUGAAAUGCGCAGAUAUCAGGAGGAACACCGGUGGCGAAGGCGGUUCUCUGGGCAUUACCUGACGCUGAGGAGCGAAAGUGUGGGGAGCGAAC